RNAcentral lists this ribosomal RNA (789 nucleotides) under uncultured bacterium. RNAcentral describes it as "bacterial SSU rRNA". It matches the Rfam family "Bacterial small subunit ribosomal RNA", at positions 1 to 798 of the family's 1533-position model. The record is from RNAcentral.
AAUUCGAUUGAGUUUGAUCAUGGCUCAGGACGAACGCUGGCGGCGUGCUUAACACAUGCAAGUCAAGGGGGCCCAGCAAUGGGCAACCGGCGAACGGGUGCGUAACACGUGAGCAACCUUCCGAAAUAUGGGGGAUAGCCGGCCUAACGGCCGAGUAAUACCGCAUACGCUCUCGAUGAGGCAUUUCAUUGAGAGGAAACCUACGGGGUAUUUCGAGGGGCUCGCGGCCUAUCAGCUAGUUGGCGAGGUAACGGCUCACCAAGGCAACGACGGGUAGCUGGUCUGAGAGGAUGGCCAGCCACAUUGGGACUGAGAUACGGCCCAGACUCCUACGGGAGGCAGCAGUGGGGAAUCUUGCGCAAUGGCCUAACGGCUGACGCAGCGACGCCGCGUGUGGGAUGAAGCUCUUCGGAGUGUAAACCACUGUUGCCCGGGACGAAUAGCUCGAUUAAUCGAGCCUGACAGUACCGGGUGAGGAAGCACCGGCUAACUCCGUGCCAGCAGCCGCGGUAAUACGGGGGGUGCGAGCGUUGUCCGGAAUCACUGGGCGUAAAGGGCGCGUAGGUGGUUUGAUAAGGGUGUGGUGAAAGUCCGGGGCUCAACCCCGGAUCUGCCGUGCCGACUGUCAAACUCGAGGACUGUAGAGGCAGACGGAAUUCCGGGUGUAGCGGUGGGAAUGCGUAGAGAUCCGGAGGAAGACCGGUUGCGAAGGCGGUCUGCUGGGCAGUUUCUGACACUGAGGCGCGACAGCGUGGGGAGCAAACAGGAUUAGAUACCCUGGUAGUCCAC